This is a long non-coding RNA of Gasterosteus aculeatus aculeatus (three-spined stickleback), 4232 nucleotides long. The record is from Ensembl. Lineage: Eukaryota; Metazoa; Chordata; Actinopteri; Perciformes; Gasterosteidae.
UAAAAAAAUAUGUGUAUAUAUAUAUAUAUAUAUAUAUAUAUAUAUAUAUUAUGGAACAUAUAUGGCAAAGAGGGCCUUACCUACCAACUGAAUCAACAGGUUUAAAAAACUAAAUACCACUGGCUAUUGUGCUGAUAAGUGGUAAAGUAAAACAAGUUUUACACUAUAACAUUAGCUCUAUGUUGCUCUGCUAGCUCCAGUUGCAGUAAUCUGUUUUUGCGAGAAAGUGAAAAAUGUUCAUAAUCAAGGUGAAUAUGUAUCCACAGGCCUUGUAGUAAAAUGAAAUGAGCAGGAAGUGAGCUGAACAGGACACUUCUCGAGGUGAGAAGCAUGCUGGUGCCUGCUGGGGAAGAUGGGCUAAUCCGUUAGCUGGAGGCACUGUGAGCACAAAUGCUCAACACACAAAAAAAUUCAAGAGCGCUAACUGUCUGAAGAGCAAGUGAAUGAGUCCCGGGAAGGAACACACAGCUCUUCCAGCCCCGACCCUUUGGAGUGGGGGCCUGGAUCCAGCCCGAAGCUUUUUGAAAGGAUUAAGGCACAUUAGCCUCUUGACAACAAAACAAAACAUAUCAUCACUGGAAGCAUGCUGUUUGGGUUUACAUACAUUUGACCCCUGCACCUGAGAUCACACACCGUAGGGGAAUCAGAGCGUUGAACACACCCCUCACCCUCCACCAAUCCCUCACCGUACAAUAUUAGGAUCAAUUUGACAGAUCAAAUCUACGUCAUUGACAUCUGGGAUUAUCAAACCACUCAUACUAGACAGCUGGACUAUGUGUGUGUGUGUGUGUGUCUGUGUGCGUGUGUGCAUUCAUGGUCAGUUGCGGGAGUUAAUGGAAAGGAAUGAAGACUCAAACUGCUCAAGACCGCAGAGUAGAUUUAUUUAAAAGCAGUUUACCUGUGAUAACAGUGUCUCGCUGUAAUCAUAGCACAACAACAUAACACUGACACAAGAGGGCUUACCCAAGUAGAAGCAAAAGACAUAGGCAACCAAAAAGAUAACAAUUAUUUAUUUGUCUGACCCAUCAGAUUUGUAGCAAAAGGCAUGUUCUCACAUCUCAGAGAGUGAAAUGGUAUGACAUGAUAAAACUGGAUUAAAGUCAAAGGUCAAAGCUGUGAGAAUGAAAUUUAAGCUGUGGAAACAAGACCCUGUUGUAUGAAUAUAGCAUUCUGAUCGAAGCAGAACUGAACUGCAGCAGAACUCGCAGGGCAGUGCAUGAGUUUAUGCUGGUGUCCCGGGUUGGGUAGCCACUGUCCCUGCUGGCCAUUAAUGGCAUAUAUUAGAUCAUGUUGUCCAUUAGCUAAUAUGCCAGGGCCACAUUAAAGGAGUGGCCAGGGUGCGUAAAGACAUUGCACACCCAUGCAGGAGAUGUGACCCUUAGGGACUCCUGACACUUGAAUUAAUCAUUGAAGGCGGGGAUGGGACCCACCGCCACAACACGCUAUACACGCUAGAUUGUCUUGGUGAAAGGUUUUGUCAUACAUGAUUAGUAGAUCUGAAAAAAUAACGGCUACUGGAUACUGUCUGAUAAAGCUUAUGAUAGCCGCAGUAAUGGUGUGGCUCAAACCAGAAACAGUCACUCGUGGAUUCAAUUCAAUUCAUUUAAUAUUAUUUUGUAUAGCCCAAAAUCGCAAAUUACAAAUUUGCCUCAGAGGGCUUUACAGUCUGUACACAUACGACAUCCUCUGUCCCGAAACCCACACAUCGACACAGGAAAAACUCCCCAAAAAAUGAAAAAACCCUUCCAUGGGGAAAAAAUGGAAGAAAUCUUAGGGAGAACGUCAGAGGUGGGAUCCCACUGGGGGGAUGGACAGACUACAAUGGAUGCCAUGUGUACAGAAUGAACAAUGUAUAAUACAUGCAAUUCCUAUGACAGAAAUGAUUCAAGUAAUUGUGAGUAGUAAGCCAGGGGCACAGCAGGACCACUGCAGGGGCGAACACCAUCAGAUAGAAACACCAUCCACAGAAGCAUGUGGGGAGGGAAAGCACAAAGACAUUAGGAGAGGGUAAUGUUGGUUUAUGAUUACAGUAUUAUGAUUAUUAUUUACAAUAAUAAUGAUGAUGAUGGCAGCAGCAGCAGAUUCUUUGAGCAAAACAACGUCAGACAGCUUUUCGCAAAUCUUUUUAUUUCCUCUCACCCUAACACACACUUUUUUUCCAUGCAGCCCGUCUAGGUGGUCCGUGUCCUCCCACCUCCCACCUGGUCCCACUACCGGUUGCAUGAAGAGCAUGAUUAGAUUGCUGUCAGACUCUAGCACAGUCCCCAUCCAACCAUCGAUCGAACCAUCCACUCAUCCAUCCAUCCAACCAGUAAGAUAAAACUACAUUUACAAUCCCGCAAACAUUUGUAGUAACGCAAAUAUCAAUUCUACCAUCUUCUUUUCAUGAAGACAUUCUAAAAGAGUUAAAUCAAUAUUUCGGUCUUCGCUGCUUUUGAAAACCCAAUUUGCCUUUAAGUUCUAGACACACUAAAUGGACAAACAAUGUAAGUAAUUCUCAGCUUCUCGAGUGUUCUCUCUGUAGUACAUGUGUGGGUCUAGUGGAAAGACGAGCCCGGCAUUGAGCGGUGGGUUUUCUUGUCUGCACAUGUCUCUCCUCCUCUGUAGUGUCACUCAGGGUUUUGUAGCUUAGACCGCCGCCUUGCUCUCUCAUCCCUGCUACCACUGUGUCGGGUGACAUCAUCCAUUUGAGAAGGGGCUGCUACAUCAUGAGGCACAAAGCCGCUGUCGAGCGGCGGCCCCAUAAAGAAACAUGCCACACCGUUCAACCGCUCACUUCAAACAAGUCAGGUACAAAGCAGCUUCACCUGCUCCGCCUCGCUUUAGUUUCUCUCUUUCCUGAAAUAUGGUCAAGGACACUAUGCUGACCAUUGGCCUCCUUCAUGUUAUUUCAGUGGUUGCCGUUCAAUGUCUAAUAUCAAUGUGAACAGAAACCUAUAGAUGUCCACAGACGAGAUGGCCUAAGUGUCCAAAUAAUUCAACCGACUCAUCCACCUGUUGGAGCUGCUGCUGCUACUGUUGGGUUGCUUGAUUUGGGGAGGUGGGGGAACAUUUUCGCUAACCUGAGAUCUAAAUGUAAGUAAGUAGCUCCUCUGGUUCAUGUCCUAACGGUCCGAUAAGAGAAGUUCAGGGCAUAGAUGCUGGACGUUAUCAGUGUUAUCAAAGCAGGUCGAGGUCAAAGCGGGACGGGGGCGGCUGCAGUGCCGCCUGUAACCGGUGUAACAGCAAUAACAGAAGGUCUGCUAAUCCAGCAAGACGUUGUGUGGACCAUGAUUGGACUGCAGAAGCCAAGUGAAGUUUCUGUCCCCCUAAAAGGCCUGAUUGAAUUGGUAGAUAGCAACAUGGGGCACUGAAUUGAAUGAAUUUAACAGACCAAAAAUGAGACAAGAAUUAGAAAGCUAGAAAGCCUCGUGGUCCCUCCGCUAAAUGAAGGUCCUUCUGCAGAGCUGCUGCAAAAUAAGUACUCAAGGUUGGUGGAUUUUCAUUAUCACAGUCAGAAUAAUAAACACCUGGUGAGGGUUGGGUAAGGUCGUGCCUAUGCCUUAAAUAUACAUCUGUCCCUUAUGCUGAGCUCAGCUAACCUGUAGUCAGUUUGUUCUUAACACACGGGCGAUGAGUUUUACCUCCAUCUUCCCAUCACAUUCAAGCGGUGUCCCGAAUGUCUAAUGAAUGUUCUUUAGUCUGGCAAAGACUCUAAUGCAUUUGGAGGAGGGGGAAACUGUCUCUGGUCAGCACAAGGUUGUCACUUCACCCGAGCCGUCGGUGGGAACUUGGGUAUCGACUCAGAGCGCCGAUUCAGCUAGCCUAAACAAACACGGAGCGACCACUGCAGGCACACAUGGAGAUCCUGCAGCUUAAUGCCUCAUUCCCCUUCACACAAUGGCUAACCUGUAAUUUACCCCAGCACUUAACAGGACCGCACCGUAAUACGAGGAAAUGUGGAGAAUCCACCUCUGUUUUCUUUGGCCAAGUUCACUGGAGCUGAAUGGAGCGGACCGAGUCUCUUUUCACAGGAUGCAAGGCUCGCUUCCUCCAGCUCGGAGGCCCUUAUGGGCCGACUACAGGGUGCAAAGGUGGUGGUGUCAGAGGUGGAGGGAGAGGGGGGGCGGAUAUCAGAGGCGAAGACUCUUUGCUCAUGGUUUAUUUGUGUGGUUUCUGGUCACGUUAUUGGGCUCAACGUAUUGGUUCAAUGAGUCUUCCCUGAGAUCUGAGGAGCGUCAGCUUGGCUUCAA